Molecule: ribosomal RNA, 345 nt
Filed under: Pantoea sp. ARC270
Lineage: Bacteria; Pseudomonadati; Pseudomonadota; Gammaproteobacteria; Enterobacterales; Erwiniaceae
Description: bacterial SSU rRNA
Rfam family: Bacterial small subunit ribosomal RNA
Source: RNAcentral
AAAUUGAAGAGUUUGAUCAUGGCUCAGAUUGAACGCUGGCGGCAGGCCUAACACAUGCAAGUCGGACGGUAGCACAGAGAGCUUGCUCUUGGGUGACGAGUGGCGGACGGGUGAGUAAUAUCUGGGGAUCUGCCCGAUAGAGGGGGAUAACCACUGGAAACGGUGGCUAAUACCGCAUAACGUCGCAAGACCAAAGAGGGGGACCUUCGGGCCUCUCACUAUCGGAUGAGCCCAGAUGGGAUUAGCUAGUAGGCGGGGUAAUGGCCCACCUAGGCGACGAUCCCUAGCUGGUCUGAGAGGAUGACCAGCCACACUGGAACUGAGACACGGUCCAGACUCCUACGG